AAAGAUGUAACUGGAAAUAUAAUGCAAUGUGGAUUGUAUUACAUCAUGUAUUAACCACAAAUCAUGAAAUCAAUACCAGAGAACCAAAUAAUGUCACCACCUCUGUACUAACAACCAACAUUUUAGCAUAAGGAGUAUCACAGGAGUGUUUAAUUGCACAUCAAGAGUAUCACAAUUACAACUAAAGAGGCAUUGUCCUCACUGCUGUCCCUGAGCCCUUCACAGAGUUUCAAGCCUCGCAACUUCUUCCUCCAGCUCUGCACAUGACCCUCGGUUACGAACCUCAUCCCUCAACUAUGAUUAUUUCAAGAUGAAAUCAACAUGCUAUUUCUCUCACAUGGAACAUGUUUAGAAUUUAGUCAGUCUCGCUAAUCUUUCAGCUACAAAGGCAGAAAGAAAAAUGGCAUAAUCAAUAACUAAAAAAAAAACUGGAACAAUAAUGCUUGUAACAAUAAUGGCUAUAUUUUUAUCAUCAAAUUUCAACAAUAGAUAUCUCUCCUCCUAUAUCCCUCAAAGAGCAAAAAUAACAAAAUGAACUUUGAUGUACACAAACACAUUCAAAUAAGCAAAUCAGAGCAAGGCAAUAUGCAUCAUACCUUCAGGAUGCCAAGCGGUCGAUUAGUAAUGCUAAAAUGAACCCAUCAGCAUACCUCCCACCUAAUUUUAUUGGCCCUAUCUCUUCUUUCUCAAGUCUGCACUCGUUCAACCAGUAAUCCAAUUAGUUAUACAUGCACACAAUAAUCAAUAGUUUCCCUUCUCCCUAUUUCUAAUUUGGAAAAAUCACUAUAUUUUUCCCCUAUUUGUAGUUUACACUGAAAUCUGAAACCAGUGUGUGGAAGUAUGUUUAAACACCCAGCCAAAAAUCUGAGAAAAGCAAAAUAAGAAUUUGAAUGCCCAAGGAAAAUUAAACUUGCUCUCUCUCCCUAUUCUCAGCCAUACAUGCACCAGACAACAUAUAUAUAUAUAUAUAUAUAUAUAUAUAUAUAUAUAUAUAUAUAUAUAUAUAUAUAUAUAUAUAUAUAUA
Molecule: long non-coding RNA, 1024 nt
Filed under: Triticum aestivum (bread wheat)
Lineage: Eukaryota; Viridiplantae; Streptophyta; Magnoliopsida; Poales; Poaceae
Description: long non-coding RNA (TAES_LNC015845)
Source: RNAcentral